GAUCAUGGCUCAGGAUGAACGCUGGCGGCGUGCCUAACACAUGCAAGUCGAACGAUUAAAGGCCCCUCCGGGGGUGCAUAGAGUGGCGAACGGGUGAGUAACACGUGACCAACCCGCCCCGGACACCGGGACAACGGGCGGAAACGCCUGCUAAUACCGGAUACUCCGCGACGGACGCAUGUCCGACGCGGGAAAGCCCAGGCGGUCCGGGAUGGGGUCGCGGCCCAUCAGCUAGACGGCGGGGUGACGGCCCACCGUGGCGACUACGGGUAGCCGGGUUGAGAGACCGACCGGCCACAUUGGGACUGAGACACGGCCCAGACUCCUACGGGAGGCAGCAGUGGGGAAUAUUGCGCAAUUGGGGGGCAACCCUGACGCAGCAACGCCGCGUGCGGGACGAAGGCCUUCGGGUCGUAAACCGCUUUCACCGGGGAAGACCAAGCGACUGUACCCGGGGAAGAAGCCCCGGCUAAAUACGUGCCAGCAGCUGC
This 491-nucleotide ribosomal RNA is filed under the name uncultured bacterium. Its description in RNAcentral is "bacterial SSU rRNA". It matches the Rfam family "Bacterial small subunit ribosomal RNA", at positions 15 to 518 of the family's 1533-position model. The record is from RNAcentral.